GUGGACAACUCAACAAUGACUUUCAUCUUCAUCUUCCUCUGGACACUUGUCCUCUGCUUACAGAAGUCCUAUGGACAGGUCACUGUGACUCAGACUCCUGCAGUGAAAGCUGUUCAACAGGGAGGAUCAGUCACUCUGAACUGUAGAACCAGCAGUGAUGUGUAUAAUGCAGGGUCAUCAUUUCCUGAAUUAGCCUGGUACCAACAGAAACCUGGAGCAGCUCCUAAACUCCUGAUCUAUUACGCCAAAACACUUCAGUCUGGGACUCCAUCCAGAUUCAGUGGCAGUGGAACUCACAGUGACUUCACUCUGACCAUCAGUAAUGUCCAGGAUGAGGAUGCAGGAGUUUACUACUGUCAGAGUUACCAUAGUGGUGGUGUGUGGACUUUUGGUGGAGGCACAAGACUUGAUGUUGGAAGUGACACCCGUCCCAAACUCACAGUCCUGCCCCCCCUGCACACCAGCGGGACUUCAGCCACGGUGAUGUGCCUGGCUAACGGAGGCUUCCCGUCCGACUGGGCGCUGAGCUGGAAGGUAGCGGGGAGCAGCAGGAGCGGGGACACCAGUGUCUUUGGCCCACAGAAGGACGGCCUGUACAGCUGGAGCAGCACCCUGACCCUCCCUCUCCAGGAAUGGGACCAGGGGCACGCAGUGACCUGCGAGGCAAAGCAGGGCUCCCAGACCGUCACUGAGAUCCUGAAGAAAUCAGACUGCUCCUAGAGUCUCCUCUGUGACUGUCUUUCUUGAUCAUCUGAAAUAUGUGUAGCGUUGAACCUUUCAUGUGUUUCAAAAAAGUACUAAUAAAGGAGUUUGAUGAUAAGAGA
Non-coding RNA from Alosa alosa (allis shad), 824 nucleotides. NCBI's taxonomy places the organism in Eukaryota, Metazoa, Chordata, Actinopteri, Clupeiformes, Clupeidae. The record is from the annotation of a RefSeq genome assembly.